Molecule: ribosomal RNA, 467 nt
Filed under: uncultured bacterium
Lineage: Bacteria
Description: partial 16S ribosomal RNA
Rfam family: Bacterial small subunit ribosomal RNA
Source: RNAcentral
GACGAACGCUGGCGGCGUGCUUAACACAUGCAAGUCGAACGGAAAGGCCCUGCUUUUGUGGGGUGCUCGAGUGGCGAACGGGUGAGUAACACGUGAGUAACCUGCCCUUGACUUUGGGAUAACUUCAGGAAACUGGGGCUAAUACCGGAUAGGAGCUCCUGCUGCAUGGUGGGGGUUGGAAAGUUUCGGCGGUUGGGGAUGGACUCGCGGCUUAUCAGCUUGUUGGUGGGGUAGUGGCUUACCAAGGCUUUGACGGGUAGCCGGCCUGAGAGGGUGACCGGCCACAUUGGGACUGAGAUAAGGCCCAGACUCCUACGGGAGGCAGCAGUGGGGAGUAUUGCACAAUGGGCGGAAGCCUGAUGCAGCAACGCCGCGUGCGGGAUGACGGCCUUCGGGUUGUAAACCGCUUUCGCCUGUGACGAAGCGUGAGUGACGGUAAUGGGUAAAGAAGCACCGGCUAACUACGU